AACGAACGCUGGCGGCAGGCCUAACACAUGCAAGUCGAACGAUGCUUUCGUGCGUAGUUGCUCACGGGGGCGUAACGCGGGGGAAUCUGCCCUGGUGUUCGGGAUAACAGCGUUAAACUGCUGCUAAUACCGGAUGAUAUCGCGUAAUCAAAGAUUUGUCGUCCUGGUAUGAGCCCGCGUCGUCUGAGGUGGUUGGUGGGGUAAGAGCCGACCAAGCCGACGAUACGUAGCUGGUCUGAGAGGAUGAGCAGCCACACUGGGGCUGAGAAACGGCCCGGAAUCUUACGCGAGGGAGCAGUGGGGAAUACUGGCAAACCGCCGCAAGCAUGAUGGAGCACUGCCGCGUGAGUGCUGAAGGCGUUAGAGUAGUACAGCUCUUUUACACGGGAUGAUAAUGACAGUACCGGGAGAAUAAGCACCGGCUAACUUCGUG
This 433-nucleotide ribosomal RNA is filed under the name uncultured bacterium. RNAcentral describes it as "partial 16S ribosomal RNA". It matches the Rfam family "Bacterial small subunit ribosomal RNA", at positions 29 to 507 of the family's 1533-position model. The record is from RNAcentral.